This 428-nucleotide long non-coding RNA is filed under the name Heterocephalus glaber (naked mole-rat). RNAcentral describes it as "lncRNA (ENSHGLG00000050237.1)". The record is from RNAcentral. Lineage: Eukaryota; Metazoa; Chordata; Mammalia; Rodentia; Bathyergidae.
AAACAAACAAAACAUGGCUCUGCUUGUAAACCUUCCCUGCUUACGUCAACCCGACUCAACCUGCAGGUCGUCUCCGGAGUUAAAGCCACCAUGAGCAGAUGUAAUACCCUCCCUCCAACCUUCUUCCACAUUGGUUUGCCACUUAAUUUCUGAAAGGCCUUAUAAAAACUGCAAAUCUACCCAGGACAGGUGCAGGCCUCAGGACCCAACCUUGUAAGAAGCAGGCGCACACUGCAGUGAGGAAAUGAGCCUCUGUAAUGCUGAGAAGGCUUUGUCUGUGACUGGACCCCACUGAAGUAAGCACCGCCACCUGAGACAGCAAGGUGAGGUCAGAAGUUGCGGCGGGGGCGGUAGGCUUGUCAGGCUGCCUGAUGAAAGCACACGACAGGCAGCUCAGAGGCUCUGGGUGGCUCAACACACUUUCUGGC